AUGGCUUCGGCGAACAACUGGCUAGGCUUCUCGCUCUCCGGCCAAGGGAGCCACCCACAGCCCCACCAGAACGGCUCACCCGCCGCCGCCGCCGCCAUCGACGUCUCCGGUGGAGGCGACUUCUAUGGCCUGCAAGGUCAGACGGCGCCGGAUGCGCACCUCGGCAUGUCUGGCCUACGGGCCGACGCCAACUACGGCGUCAUGGAUGCCUUCAACGGAGGCACCCAGGAAACCCAAGAUUGGGCAAUGAGGGGUUUGAACUACCACGGCGGCUCCUCCGAGCUGUCGAUGCUAGUCGGCUCGAGCGGCGGGAGGAUGACGGUGGACGACGGUGAGGCGCCGAAGCUCGAGGACUUCCUAGGCGGCAGCUCCUUCUCCGACGUGCAGGACCACGCCGGCGGCUACCUGUUCUCGUCCGGAAGCGCGAUGGGCAGCAGCGCGGCGGCUGGUUCACACGGCGUAGACGGCCGUGGCGGCAGCACCAUAGAGCUGUCCAUGAUCAAGACAUGGCUCCGGAACGACAAUAACCAGGCGCAGCAUGACCAGGAGAUGAGCGCCGACGCGAGCGCGACCAGCUAUGCGUGCUCCGGCGCGCCAGGGAGCACCGGCAACGGCGUGGGCGUCGCGAGCUCGCGUGGGCAGGGCCUGGCGCUCUCGAUGAGCAUGGGGUCGAACUCGCACCCGCAGAUGCCGGUGGUCCCGGCGGCGGUGGGGACAGAGAGCACGUCGUCGGAGAACAAGCGGGUGGAUUCGCCGAGCGCCGGCACGGCAGACGCCGUCCAGAGGAAAUCCAUCGACACCUUCGGGCAAAGGACCUCGAUCUACCGAGGUGUAACAAGGCAUAGAUGGACAGGGCGGUAUGAGGCGCAUCUAUGGGACAAUAGUUGCAGGAGAGAGGGGCAGACUCGCAAGGGGAAACAAGUUUAUCUGGGCGGUUAUGACAAAGAAGACAAGGCAGCUAGGGCUUAUGAUUUGGCAGCUCUAAAAUAUUGGGGCACAACCACAACAACAAAUAUCCCAAUAAGUACUUAUGAGAAGGAGAUAGAGGAAAUGAAACAUAUGACCAGGCAGGAGUACAUUGCAUAUCUUAGGAGGAAUAGUAGUGGUUUUUCUCGUGGCGCAUCAAAAUAUCGCGGUGUAACCAGGCAUCAUCAGCAAGGAAGAUGGCAAGCAAGGAUAGGGAGAGUCGCGGGCAACAAGGAUCUCUACCUCGGCACCUUCACGACCGAGGAGGAGGCCGCGGAGGCGUACGACAUCGCCGCCAUCAAGUUCCGGGGGCUCAACGCCGUCACCAACUUCGAGAUGAGCCGCUACGACGUCAAGAGCAUCCUGGAGGGCAGCACGCUGCCGGUGGGCGGCGCGGCCAGGCGCCUCAAGGAGGCGGCUGAGCUCGCCGAGGCCGGCGUGUGGCGGGCGGAGGACGGCAGCAUCGUCUCGCACCUGCAGGCCGACGCCAUGGCCGGGUACCACCAUGGCUGGCCCACGUCCAUCGCGUUCGGCAGCCACCAGCAGCAGCAGUCCGCGGCGCAGCUCGCCCUGCACUACCCGUACGGCGUUGGCGGGCACGCCCGCGGGUGGUGUAAGCCGGAGCAGGACGCGGUGAUCGCGGCCGCGCACGGCGGGCAGGACAUCCAGGAGCUCCACCUGGGAAGCGGCGGCAGCACCCACAACUUCUUCCAGCCGGCAUCGAGGGCCGCAGUUUACGGCAACGGCGGUGGCGGCGCCUGGUACCAAGGCCUCGGAGGCAACGCGUACAUGAUGCCGGUGGGCACGGUGGUGGACGCCGACCAGGGGCACAGCGGCAGCACGGCGACUACGGAGGAGGGGAGGCUCGUGGGGUACGGCGCCGAGGCUGGCGUCGACCCGUACGCGGCCAUGAGGCGCGCCUACGAGCUCUCCCAGGGCUCCUCGUCCGUGAGCGUCGCCAAGGUGGCGGACGGCUACUCCAACAAUUGGAGCUCGCCGUUCAAUGGCAUGGGGUGA
Molecule: ribosomal RNA, 1983 nt
Filed under: Triticum aestivum (bread wheat)
Lineage: Eukaryota; Viridiplantae; Streptophyta; Magnoliopsida; Poales; Poaceae
Description: partial small subunit ribosomal RNA
Source: RNAcentral